This 447-nucleotide ribosomal RNA is filed under the name uncultured bacterium. RNAcentral describes it as "bacterial SSU rRNA". It matches the Rfam family "Bacterial small subunit ribosomal RNA", at positions 355 to 825 of the family's 1533-position model. The record is from RNAcentral.
UCGGGAAUUUUGGGCAAUGGGCGAAAGCCUGACCCAGCAACGCCGCGUGAAGGAUGAAGUAUUUCGGUAUGUAAACUUCGAAAGAAUAGGAAGAAUAAAUGACGGUACUAUUUAUAAGGUCCGGCUAACUACGUGCCAGCAGCCGCGGUAAUACGUAGGGACCAAGCGUUGUUCGGAUUUACUGGGCGUAAAGGGCGCGUAGGCGGCAAUUCAAGUCAUCUGUGAAAUCUCCGGGCUUAACUCGGAACGGUCAGAUGAUACUGCUUUGCUAGAGUGCAGAAGGGGCAAUCGGAAUUCUUGGUGUAGCGGUGAAAUGCGUAGAUAUCGGGAGGAACACCUGUGGCGAAGGCGGCCACCUGGUUGGAUACUGACGCUGAGACGCGAAAGCGUGGGGAGCAAACAGGAUUAGAUACCCCAGUAGUCCCUGAGCGGGCUGGCAAGGCGCAU